CGGAACGUGCCUAGUAGUGGGGGAUAACUACUCGAAAGAGUAGCUAAUACCGCAUGAGAUCUAAGGAUGGAAGCAGGGGACCUUCGGGCCUUGCGCUACUAGAGCGGCUGAUGGCAGAUUAGGUAGUUGGUGGGAUAAAAGCUUACCAAGCCGACGAUCUGUAGCUGGUCUGAGAGGACGACCAGCCACACUGGGACUGAGACACGGCCCAGACUCCUACGGGAGGCAGCAGUGGGGAAUUUUGGACAAUGGGCGAAAGCCUGAUCCAGCAAUGCCGCGUGUAGGAUGAAGGCCCUCGGGUUGUAAACUACUUUUGUACGGAACGAAAAGCUCUCUUCUAAUAAAGGAGAGUGAUGACGGUACCGUAAGAAUAAGCACCGGCUAACUACGUGCCAGCAGCCGCGGUAAUACGUAGGGUGCGAGCGUUAAUCGGAAUUACUGGGCGUAAAGCGUGCGCAGGCGGUUAUGUAAGACAGAGGUGAAAUCCCCGGGCUCAACCUGGGAACGGCCUUUGUGACUGCAUAGCUAGAGUACGGUAGAGGGGGAUGGAAUUCCGCGU
RNAcentral lists this ribosomal RNA (559 nucleotides) under uncultured bacterium. Its description in RNAcentral is "bacterial SSU rRNA". It matches the Rfam family "Bacterial small subunit ribosomal RNA", at positions 119 to 674 of the family's 1533-position model. The record is from RNAcentral.